Molecule: long non-coding RNA, 1342 nt
Filed under: Androctonus crassicauda
Lineage: Eukaryota; Metazoa; Arthropoda; Arachnida; Scorpiones; Buthidae
Source: RNAcentral
GGGACCCGACUUGACCGACCAACUUCCCGCCUAUUUGAUCAGAGAAAGUUUCGAGAAAACCGAAAAGGACAGGACCCGCUGGGUAAGUGACUCUCUUCUUCCCUUUUACUAAUUUUGGUUUGCUGGAAACACUAUCCGCUUCGUAUCCUUACCGUAGCCCAAUGGCGCAGUUCCGUUUGGCGCCGGAUGGUAACCGUACCACUCGGAAAGGUAACCUUCCAACCCGGUGGGUUUCCUAAUUGUUUACCGAGACGGACGCUCUUUCCCGACCACUUCGGUUAUUAAGCGGAAGAAGGAAGGAAAGAAAGAACUAGACGUUGGUUGGGUAUUUGAUUCGAGAAAAGAAUCGACCCGCUACCACAAUUAUCCAAAUUAUUAUCAAUACUUGAAGUCGGUGUUUUCCCCCAUCCUGGGCCAGAAUUUACAAAAACCGACCAACAAGAAACAAAUUGGUGUGGAAUAAAAACCAAAGGUUGUAUAUCCGGGUAGCCCCGACUCGAAAUUGGCUAUUCUGUCUUUGAAACUUUGCGCUGUUUCCAAGACAGAAUAGCCAGGCGGAAAUAGAAUUUCCAGUAGCACAGAAUUGGUGCCUAAAAAUAAGCGUUAAUUAAAUGUUACUCGGUAUUCUAUUAAUGUUUUUCGUCUUUUCCCUAAGAUUUCUUUAACUGUAUACUAAAAAUGACCGCGCCCUAAUAAAUGUACGAGUCUCAGAACUUCAUUUAUACCAAGUACGUCUGCUAUAAUGGUAAAUAAAAACGGCUACCAAAAUAACGAGGCCUAUCGAUUCGUUACCGACAAAAGGACACGGAAACCACCGCUUUAAGCGCGUAAGGCCAAAGCCAUCUUAAAUUGUUUCUGGUUUUAACUUCUUCCCGCUUCUCCACAUUAUAAUCCAUACAGCAUCUCCGCGGCGUAUAUGUUUAUGGUACAUAUAUCGGGAUAAAUAUUGGGAUGAUAACGAAAACUUUUCCAUUCCCUUUCCGUUAACUUAAUCCUCCGUCUGGAACAGAUUCUAGUCCAGAGUGUGGCUAGAUGGUUGGCGGUUACUCUGGUAAGCUUAAGGGAGCGGUCCGGCUCCAUUCCGGUCGGUAAGAUCCGGGUGACGGCCCGCCGACCACCUAUGGGGCCCAUUUCGCUCACCACCAGCCGUCCGACGGGCGUUUAUUUUUUAAGAUCGAGUAAUACGAAUAUGGAAUUUACCGAGAAGAAGGCGAUGGAUGAAAACCUUCUGUAUCAGUGGCUGCCAAGAAAAUACCGGGACGAGUCGGCGGGAUGGGCCCCUGGAAACGCUUCGGCUUUCCACUCCGGAGGACCCGGGUCUCGCCCCUGGAAAAUAUUUAGC